This 492-nucleotide ribosomal RNA is filed under the name uncultured bacterium. RNAcentral describes it as "partial 16S ribosomal RNA". It matches the Rfam family "Bacterial small subunit ribosomal RNA", at positions 29 to 507 of the family's 1533-position model. The record is from RNAcentral.
AGUGAACGCUGGCGGUAGGCCUAACACAUGCCAGUCGAACGGCAGCACAGUAAGAGCUUGCUCUUACGGGUGGCGAGUGGCGGACGGGUGAGGAAUACAUCGGAAUCUACUUUUUCGUGGGGGAUAACGUAGGGAAACUUACGCUAAUACCGCAUACGACCUACGGGUGGAAGCAGGGGAUCUUCGGACCUUGCGCGAUUGAAUGAGCCGAUGUCGGAUUAGCUAGUUGGCGGGGUAAAGGCCCACCAAGGCGACGAUCCGUAGCUGGUCUGAGAGGAUGAUCAGCCACACUGGAACUGAGACACGGUCCAGACUCCUACGGGAGGCAGCAGUGGGGAAUAUUGGGCAAUGGGCGCAAGCCUGAUCCAGCCACACCGCGUGGGUGAAGAAGGCCUUCGGGUUGUAAAGCCCUUUUGUUGGGAAAGAAAAGCAGCAGGUUAAUACCCCGCUGUUCUGACGGUACCCAAAGAAUAAGCACCGGCUAACUUCGUG